AGGGGUACCUGCGGAAGGAUCAUUAAAGAGUAAGGGUGCUCAGCGCCCGACCUCCAACCCUUUGUUGUUAAAACUACCUUGUUGCUUUGGCGGGACCGCUCGGUCUCGAGCCGCUGGGGAUUCGUCCCAGGCGAGCGCCCGCCAGAGUUAAACCAAACUCUUGUUAUUAAACCGGUCGUCUGAGUUAAAAUUUUGAAUAAAUCAAAACUUUCAACAACGGAUCUCUUGGUUCUCGCAUCGAUGAAGAACGCAGCGAAAUGCGAUAAGUAAUGUGAAUUGCAGAAUUCAGUGAAUCAUCGAAUCUUUGAACGCACAUUGCGCCCCUUGGUAUUCCGAGGGGCAUGCCUGUUCGAGCGUCAUUACACCACUCAAGCUAUGCUUGGUAUUGGGUGCCGUCCUUAGUUGGGCGCGCCUUAAAGACCUCGGCGAGGCCUCACCGGCUUUAGGCGUAGUAGAAUUUAUUCGAACGUCUGUCAAAGGAGAGGACUUCUGCCGACUGAAACCUUUUAUUUUUCUAGGUUGACCUCGGAUCAGGUAGGGAUACCCGCUGAACUUAAGCAUA
Molecule: unclassified non-coding RNA, 562 nt
Filed under: Metschnikowia sp. JSKim-2014
Lineage: Eukaryota; Fungi; Ascomycota; Pichiomycetes; Serinales; Metschnikowiaceae
Description: partial contains 18S rRNA, ITS1, 5.8S rRNA, and ITS2
Rfam family: 5.8S ribosomal RNA (bases 206-359)
Source: RNAcentral